UAUCAGUAUGUGGAUGUGAAGAUGAGGAUGUUUAUCAGGAUGUGGCUGUGAAGAUGAGGUUAUUCAGGAUGUGGCUGUGAAGUAGAGGAGGUUAAACAGGAUGUGGCUGUGAAGGUGAGGACGUUUAUCAGGAUGUGGCUGUGAAGAUGAGGAGGUUUAUCAGGAUGUGGCUGUGAAGAUGAGGAGGUUUAUCAGGAUGUGGCUGUGAAGAUGAGGAGGUUUAUCAGGAUGUGGCUGUGAAGGUGAGGAGGUUUAUCAGGAUGUGGCUGUGAAGAUGAGGAGGUUUAUCAGGAUGUGGCUGUGAAGAUGAGGAUGUUUAAUAUUCACCUGAAGUUAGCCCUAACGUUCAUAACAACACCAAGGGAACACACACAAGCACAGGCACAUGCACGCACGCACGUACGCACGUACCAUAUUUACCAUCGUUUCAUUACAUUAUCCUAUUUCAGCUGUUGGUCAUUUAGGAAACAGCAUUGUGUCUGUCUG
Molecule: long non-coding RNA, 486 nt
Filed under: Salmo salar (Atlantic salmon)
Lineage: Eukaryota; Metazoa; Chordata; Actinopteri; Salmoniformes; Salmonidae
Description: lncRNA (ENSSSAG00000099023.1)
Source: RNAcentral